AUGCAGCCGGAGCAGCGCGGCGGCGCAAACGCAGUCGGCGCAGCCGUUAAAGUUAACGGCGUCGCGGACCUCCUGCCGUUCCUGCUCGGCGUCCCCGUCACGUACCGCUUCGCCAAGCACAACGCUACUAAGGAGGGAUUCGUCGUCGAACGCGGCUACGCCUGCGCCUGCGACUCGUCCUGCGGCUAUCGCCGCGGCGGCAAGGCCUUGUCGGCGGUGGAGUUCGAGAAGCACGCGGGGGCGAAAUCGAAGAACCAGAACGGCCACAUCUUCCUCCCCAACGGCACCUCGCUCUACGACCUCUUCCACACGCUCAGGGAGGUGCCCCCCGAGAGAUUCCCAGCGGCUUUCUGUGAGGCCGCCGGGGUGCCAAUGACGGUGCCCGCCGCCGCCGCCACCUGUCCGCCCCUUGCGCAGGGUCAGCCGGCAAGCAGGGAGCCGGAAUUGCUGCAGGCUAGCGACGUGAUGGCGGAGCAGCCUGCUUGGGCUGCGCCGGCGCAGCAGGCUUUCAACUUCGAUAUUACGAGCGAAGAGGCGAAUGCCGGCUUGUCUCUUCUUGACUUGAGGGGAAAUAAUCCAGCCACCGAAGCGGAACCUAUGGAUGGAAUUGAAUGGCCUUCUAUGGAACACAGCUUGAGUUUGAUAGACGCCGCAGAACAGAUUGAGAAUGCAGCCCGUGGUGACCAUGAGAUGCCUGAUGUGGUCGAGGUAAGGAUUGCAACUGGUGAUCGACCUAGGGAUAUUGGCUUGUCGACAGCCACCCAUGUGAAAGUGAAAGUGAUGGAAACGAAGUAUCAGUCAGUGCGAACAUCAGAAACCAAGUACAAGCCAGAGAGUUUACUUAAGGAUGUCAGAGGAUUGCUGUCCACUGGGCUUCUUGAAGGUUUCAGGGUGACCUACAAGAAGAAUGGGGUGGAGCUGACUGGGCGUAUAGACGGGCAGAGAUAUUCCUGUGGUUGUAUGCAAUGUGAUUACAGUAAUAUAAUGAAUGCAUGUGAGUUUGAGCAACAUGCUGGCCAGUUAACAAACAACCAAAAUGAUCAUAUAUUUUUGGACUGUGGAAUUUCGCUGUAUAAGUUGAUACAAGUACUUAAAUAUAAAAGACUUGACUUGCUUGGGGACCUGAUUGAAGAACAGACUGGCCUCACUCCAAAUCUGAUUGAAUAUGGAAAGUGGAAAGCUUCUUUUCAAGUGGAAAAUAAUGGUUUUGUUGAUGCGCCUUCACAUCCUUGUUCAACUCAACGUUUGCAGGAGUCAGCUGCAGGAGUGACAAGCCAUAGAACUUUAGCCACUACUUCGGCAAAUUCCUUGAAAAAAUCUACUAGCAAUCACAUCUCAAACCUGAGCUGGAGUGCAUUCAGGAGGCCACGGUGGCAAUAUAAGCGAGGAAGUACUCAAACUUCGGCUCCAACCUUGAGUAAAAGCCCUGAGAAAGGAACUUCGGGUCUAUCUACAUGCACUUCAAUGAAAAGUGUCACUGUAGAAAUUCCUAGUGAGAACAUUGCAGAUCCUCUUAGUCCUGAGGAUAUAAAGCCUAAUUUGGCAGCAGAUACUGCAGUAAUAUCGACCUCAUCAGAGUGUGAUCCCAUAGAUCUAGCAUUUUCUUUAUCAAGCCCAGUUUCAAUUGUUCAAGAGCCACCUGUGAGUCACCACAUGGACUCAAAGACGAAAGAACCGCGGCGAACAAAAGCGAGGGAUAACUCCUUGCACCCGCUGGUUUUCAAGGAAGGCGGCCUUCCAGACCUUACUUUGUUGACUUACAAGUUGAAGCACGGAGAGGUUCUAAAGCAAGGCUAUAAACGGGGGGCAGGUAUAGUCUGUGAUUGCUGCAAUGAAGAGCUUACUCCUUCACAGUUUGAAGACCAUGCUGGAAUGGGGAAAAGACGACAACCGUAUCGUAACAUUUAUACCUCAGAAGGAUUGACACUUCAUGAGCUGGCACUAAAACUGCAAGACAGUUUAAAUUCAAAUGGAGUCAGCAGCAUUGAUUUCUCUGACAUUGAUGACCCUCAUAACAUUGCUACUUCAGGUUGUAGGAAAGAACCUUCUACCGCCAGUAGACCUCUCAUUGUUCCAUUGAAACGGACAUUACAAGGAAGAGUUGUUGAUGCUGAGAGCUGUCAUUUAUGUGGCGAUGCCUGUACGACUAUUGGGGUAAUCAGCGAAGACAUGAUUAUCUUCUGUAACCAGUGUGAGAGACCAUGCCAUGUGAAAUGCUACAAUAGUGGAUUCCAAGAAAACAAUGAACCUCUGAAUGUUUUGAGAGAAUAUAUGCAAUGUCACUUCUUCUGCUGUAAAAAAUGUCAGUUACUUCGUGCUUCUUUGCACCAAGAACUAAAUAAGCGGGAAAAGAUCAGACAUAAAAGAUCCAAUGUUUGUUGGCAUCUUUUAAGUGGAAUGAAUCCGAGGCGUGAUGUGCAGCAGUUCAUAGAUCAGGUUAUUGGAAUCUUCAAAGUUGCGUUCCCGGAAACAUCUGACCCGGAAAGUGAUAUCAGACGAGAUAUGGUUAUUGCCACGGAUGUAGGAGGAAAAAAUGAUUUUAGAGGAAUGUAUUGUGCACUACUAACCACAAGCAGUAAACUUGUUGUGUCAGCUGCGAUUCUGAAAGUGCGCACGGAAGAAGUUGCAGAACUUGUCCUUGUCGCUACACAUAAUGAGUGCAGAAAAAAGGGCUACUUCAGACUUCUCUUGAGACAAAUCGAAACACAUCUGACAGCCCUGAAUGUUCAGUUUCUUAUGGCGCCCGUUGAUCCUGAAAUGGUACCAAUCUGGUCCAAGAAACUUGGCUUCACCAUUUUAUCAGAUCAAGAGAAGUCGUCACUGCUAGAGGCACACCCCUUGGUGAUGUUCGAGGGCCUAACAUUGAUGCAGAAAUCAUUAGCUGUCAAGCCUGAUCUCAAGGGUUUGAGUAACCAAGUUACAAUGGGAGAACCGAGUGCACCUGAUCUUGAGAUUUUGAGUAACCAAGUUACAAUGGGAGAACCGUGUGCACCUGAUCUCGAGAUUUUGAGUAACCAAGUUACAAUGGGAGAACCGAGUGCAUAG
RNAcentral lists this ribosomal RNA (3045 nucleotides) under Triticum aestivum (bread wheat). RNAcentral's name for it is "partial small subunit ribosomal RNA". Lineage: Eukaryota; Viridiplantae; Streptophyta; Magnoliopsida; Poales; Poaceae. The record is from RNAcentral.